CUUGCCCCAGUGGUAAAGACACUGAGCUCAAGUAAUACAUUCGUAUGUCAGAAAGUGUGAGUCGAAAAGAGACUUAAUAAGUGCUUAUAUGUUGGGGCUUGCCCUCUAGGACUCCUGAAGAAGCCAGGAUCUGAAGAAGCCUGAGCGAUGACCAUGUGGAGGGAGGCCCAGCUGUCCGAGUCCGUCCAGGCUUCCAGCUGCUGCCCGUUGUAGCCACAGGAGUGAACCCAGGGCAGAAUGAGGGGACAGAGAAUGAAGUGCACAUUAGAGGAGCUGGGUCUCAGUCCUCCGUUCAAACACUAAUUGGCCCAGAAGACAUCGUCAGACUAAAGCAAGACUGUCGGUUACAACUGAGAAGUGGACAAAGACCCAAGAGCUACUGACAAAGGGAAAGAAGACCAGCUCCAACAGACAUUCCACAUAGAGAAUGGCUUUGGGAAAACAGCUGCUCUUGUAGGGUUGGAGGUCAAGUUGAGAGCUCACUCCUAGGUUUCAAACAUACAAUUAAAUUUAGCUUUGUUGGGUCAUUCUGUGGUCAGGGCCGUAAGUUGAGCUUGGUCAUCCCGAGAUGAUUCUAACUUGUGCCAAGAUUCUGACCUCAUUAGACAAAACAGUCGCCAUGUUUUCGUGUACUUCUAGCAUCUAGCACAGUGCCUGGCACAAAGUAGGCACAUAAUGAAUGUGUUCUAAACGAGAGAGUGAAAGGAGCACAUUGGUCAAGGCAACACAAGAAUAAAGUGAAUAUUCAGCUACUGCGAUUCCGGUUACCAGCAGGUGGCGCUGUGUCAAUACAAAUGCUGUUGCGUGAGGAGGAGGAGGAAGACGGGAAAUUUUGUUUUACAGGAAUUCACGACUCAACUGCUGCGUAAUUGAAUUUAUUUUUUUCUACGCACUUGGUCUACCAUUGUCCCACUUGCAUGAAUAAGUUGAUUUCUGAAGGCUUAAAGACUUAAACAAGGAAAACAAGUGGAAAGAGGCUGGUCACAGAAGAGAGGUGAGCAGGUAAUGAAGGAGAUGGGAAGGAUAUUCUAAUUACCCCUAUUUCCACUCUCAUGAUGGAAAGCUGCUCCCAGCGAACACUAAGUGUUGUGAAAUUAUCCAAAGCAUUCAAAAGAAUAAGCCAUUUCAGCGAGAGGGUGGAGCCAUCCUGUAAUUUCUGUUAAUCAGCCACUGUUUCCUAUACAGACUGUCAAAU
This 1195-nucleotide long non-coding RNA is filed under the name Camelus dromedarius (Arabian camel). RNAcentral's name for it is "lncRNA (ENSCDRG00005004449.1)". The record is from RNAcentral. Lineage: Eukaryota; Metazoa; Chordata; Mammalia; Artiodactyla; Camelidae.